This is a microRNA precursor of Sarcophilus harrisii (Tasmanian devil), 150 nucleotides long. Ensembl annotates it as sha-mir-205. Its record names the gene sha-mir-205. NCBI's taxonomy places the organism in Eukaryota, Metazoa, Chordata, Mammalia, Dasyuromorphia, Dasyuridae. The record is from Ensembl.
AAGCUCAAGAUGAUCCAUGAGUUUCUCUUGUCCUUCAUUCCACCGGAGUCUGUCUCAUAUCUAAUCAGAUUUCAGUGGAGUGAAGCUUAAGAGGCAUGGAGUUGACUCAGCACAGCAGCCACUUCAAGAUUAACUCUGACACAAGAAAAG